CUACUCUAGUGUGGAUACAAUCUACACAACACAGAAAAGAUGUCCAAACAAAGUUAUUCGGUUUUUCUGGGGGACUACUGGGGGUGUUUUCAUUCCUGAUUUUAGUUUUUUUAGUGGCUUUAUAUUUAAUUUUAGUGUGUUAUAGAAAAGUCAGGAAGUAAGACUGUAACAGUGAAUAACAUCACCCGCCUAUCUCCACAGUAGAGUGUUUAUGCCAGUUAAGAUUUUUGCCUUUUCAUAACUUACUUUGAAAAUUUAACUCCCAGUGUCUCUUCUUUUUUAAAGGAUAUUUUAUAUACCAUUUUGCAUUGUAGGCCCAGAGGUCUGUGGGUCUUUACCACAUUCACACUUAUAAAACACCCUUGAUCACAACGUUAUUAGGAAGGAAAUUCUGAGAAUAAAUGAUAUCUACAAAUUACUCAAAACAUAGUUUCAGUUAGUAGAUUAAAUACUCCACACAUUUUAGCAUUAAAUCCUUGGGAAGAUAUCUUUAUAUUUCUGAGCUUCAGUUUACUCAUCUGUAAAAUCAGAAUCAUAAUGCCAUCCACCUCAUGGGAUUUUGAGGAUUAAAUGCAUUAUCACAUGUAAAUGCUUAGAUGAAGUUCAGUGCAUAGGAGGCACUCACUACACGCUUAUUGUUAUUGCCUCUGCCACCCAAAGCAUUACUUGCAAUGUUAACAGCAGCUGUCUACAUCAAAUGUUUUUGAUAGUAUAUUUUCCUCUGUCAUAACUAAAAUGAAGGAAAUAAGAGAGGAAGUGAAAAAAGGACUAAAUAAUACUCAUGAAGGACUGUCCAGCUCAGAGAAUGAUGGCAUUCCCUGUAUGACAUGAGUGAAAUGUUCCCUUAGUUCCUGUUGGUUAUGUCAUGCUGUGGCUCCUGACCGAUCUAGGAUGUAUCUGUCAUUAAAAUGAACAUCAUCUUCAGUUCCCCUGUUUGUUUCAUUUUUGUCUCUUUUGUUCACUCCUGUUACCCACUGCCUUCUCCAGUGUGUGGCACAGGCACACACACUUCCUUGUGGAAGGAAGGAAGGUAGGCAGAGAAGGAGGGAGGAAGGAAGGAACAUCUGCCUCUUUCCCUUUUUAAUGAUAGUAUUUUUCUUCCAAUAUACACUUUUUUUAAAAUUUAACAAUUAAAUGCCUGUGCACUGUUGGCAGUGGAAAUAUUUUAAAAUUAAAUUAUUUAUUUAAUGUGGAUUAUUGCUCAUGAUUAAGGAUGCAGGCUUGGGAGUGGCAGUGCCCUAGUGCCCCAGAUAGGAGCCCCAGUGCCAUCCUAGAGCUGUUUCUGAGUUCAGAAAUCUGAGUUCAGGUUGUGAGUUUGGCUGAAUCAUUUGAAGUCUCUGGGUUCAAAUUUUGGCUCUCCCACUUUUUACCUGAGUGACCCUUGAGCAAGUUAGUUAACCUCACUGCUUCACUCCUCAUCUGUAAAGUGGGAGAAAUAACAGUUCUUACCUCACAGGGAUUUUACAAGAAGCAAAUGAGUUAAUAUUUGCAAAGUAUUUGGAAUUGUAUGUGGCACUCUUAUGAGUGACAAUAGACUUGUUUGUUAAACAAUUAACAGAAACCCUAGUUUCCCAAUUAGACAUAGUAGUACCUACCUUAUGAAAUGAUCACGACGACACUGCCUGGCAUGUGAAAAACAAUCAUAUAUUAUUUCUCCAAAUCUUAUUGAAAAUCUUUAUUUCUAUAAUCUGCAGUAGUGAUCUGGGUCCUGAUUUAGCCUUUCCAUUUUUCGGUCCAUGAAAGUCUGAUUGAGUCUACCUUACCUUUCGCGCAAAGUCUUUUCACCCACCCAAUGUUUAUCAUGUCAUUUUGCCGUGCGUCAUUCGCUCCUUUUAAUCUGCAUACUCCUCAGGACAGGGACUUUGCUCUUUGUUUUGUAAUAAUUUUUAUAACACUGGGUACACUCCGGGUACUAUAAAAAUAUUGAAGAAGAAAAGAAAAAAAAAAAAAGAGAUAGUUCACCUAAAGGCAACUUCGACCCAGAGCUGGCCCGACGCACCAAUGUGUGCAGUGUCGGUUGCUGGAGGCGCGCUGUGGCCUGUGGCUCCCUGGCUGCGUGGCAGUGCAGACUGUGGGGCAUGCGCCGCGGGGGUGCGCGGGGAACUUGAGCUGGGAGGCGGCGCCCCGGGACACUGCGAGAGGCCGCUGGCUGGGGACACUGCACUCACACAGGUCAGCCUGCUUCUUUUGCUAGGAUCAGGCGAUUUAGACAGGGACUAGGCGAAUAAGUGAAUGAGUGAGGGAGGGAGGGAGGGAGGGAGGGAGGAAGGGAGUUGAGAGUGGAAAGUGAAUUGAAAAAGGAGGGGAAAGGAAAGGAUUCAUUAAAAACGGAGGCUGUGGAGGCUCGUGGUUUUAAGAAACAAGCUAUAUGGGGUCCACAUACUAUGGUCUUGUUUGAAGUUUUUUGCAUAUAGGAGGGUUGUAAUACAUGGGUUGUAUGACCAAUCAUUUCUUGUUAAAAUGAUUUAGUACUUAAAAGAUUGAUCUUUGCAACCUCGCUUUGUGAAUGUGGGAAAGCGUUCAAAUGGUUGAGAAGGCUGGAAGGAAGAGCUGCUCUGUUAUAGUCCCCAAAACAUGUUUAUUCCUCUUUUGAGGCAAUUCUUUAGUAACAGCACACUUAAAAAAUAAAAAAAAGAAGAAGAAAAGUAAGUUUAACACCUCUUUAGCAUAUGUGGCUGGUUAAAUGAUUAAAUAUUCUGCUGUAUUUAAUCAUUCUUUCUAUAUAGAGGAGUCUAUGCUGUUGGUUGUCAUAUAUAUUUAAAAUUUUAUUUUGAAAUCAUUAUAGAUUCACAGGAAGUUGCAGAGCUAGCACAGAGAGGCCCCAUAUACUUUUUUUUUUUUAAGAUAGAGAGAGGGGAGAGAGAGAGAGAGAGAGAGAGAGAAUUUUAAUAUUUAUUUGUUUUUUUUAGUUUUCGGCGGACACAACAUCUUUGUUUGUAUGUGGUGCUGAGGAUCGAACCCGGGCCGCACGCAUGCCAGGCGAGUGCGCUACCGCUUGAGCCACAUCCCCAGUCCCCCAUAUACUUUUUACCCAGUUUCCUCCAGUAGUUACAUCGACAUACUUUCAGUACAGUAUCAAAAUCAGGAAAUUGAUAUUGGUACAAUGUGUGUGUGUAGCUUCUGUGUCAUUUUAUUGCAUGUGUAGAUUUGUGCUGCUAUCUCCAUUCAAGAUUCAGGACUUCCAUCUCCAUGAAGAGCUCCCUUGUACCACCCUUUUAUUGCCACACCCACCUUCUCCUCCUGACCCUUGGCAACCAUAUGUUUCCUGAUUCUGUAUUUUUAUCAUUUUUGAGAAUGUCAUGUAAAUGGAAUCAUGGAAUACUACUGUUUUAUUUUAAAAUAAGAUUGCAUUUUUUUUCUCUCUGUUUAAUGCUCUUAAAGAUCCAUUCAAAGUUUUCUGUAAACCAAUAGUUUUGUCUUUUUUUCAUUUUUGAGUAGUGUUCUAGGAGUAUUUUUUGUUUUUUUAAUCUAUGGAGAUACUUAUUUGACACUCAAUGGGACUGAAUUUCACCUGAUGAGGUGGAAAGUGGGAGGACACAAUUUGAACAAGUUUUUCUUUCCAAAAUGGCAUUUGUGUGUUAUAGUGCGAAAGAAUGUGUAAUGUACCUUAAUUUAAAACAGACCCCUGUCUAUGCCCAGUGGCGCACAUCCAUAAUCUCAGUGACUGGGGAGGCUGAGGCAGGAUGAUUGCAAGUUUGAGUCCAGCCUUGGCAACUUAGCCAGACCCUCAGCAAUUUAGUAGACCCUGAUUCAAAAGAAAAAAGGGAGGGGGGGGGCGGGGGAAAGUGGGUUGAGGAGGUAGUUCAGUGGUAAAAUAUUCCCGGAUUUGUAUCCCAGGACCAAAAAUAAAGAAAUAAAUAAAACUGAUCACUGAAGGAUUAAAAAGGAGAAAAGGAAAAGGAAAGAGAAAUUUAUGUACUCAGACAAUAAGGCAUAACCCUGUACCUUGGAAGUUUUUCAUAUCCUUAUGGCAAUCUGUUCUUUGAUGGUUACCUUUCGUUAAACAACUCAGGUUUCCUGAAACUAACAAAAACAAAGCCUCUGCCUUAGGAAAAUUCCUGUCAGCCUUUGCUCUGUCACAUCACCUGACCAAAAAAAAAAACAAAAAAAACCUGAGGAAUAGGCAUGACUGUAAAUGACAAAGAGUAGCUCUUUGGGUUGACAGCAGUCACCAAGAACACAAAACAGCAUCUCUAGCCCAAGGGCAUCUAUCAAGAUCAGGAUGUUCUUGGAGACUGUCAGAUAACACUAUUCUGGCCCUUUGCCCCACCCACCUACCUACAUUUCUCAGUAUUUGUCUCAUUUUAGUGGAAGCUGUUAUCCUUCCCAUAUGCACUAAAGCUUGAGCAAUCUGAAAACUGGAAGCUGCCACUAGCUAGGGAAAGUAUGUUACUGCAGGAUGGUGUGCAGACGCCUUAGGCUCCACCCCUUCCUUCAGCCAGUGCUCACUGGAAAGCUCCCUCACCACACCCACCCCAUCAGCAGAGGGGAGAAGAAAAUACCCACUAUGAUUCAAAGAGUUUGCAAAUAACCCUUUCUUUGCAUUUUUAGAAUUUCACAUUCUGGACUUUCAGAGUCAUGUUGUUAAGUCACAGAAUAAAAACCUAUUAUCAGUCUGGAACCCUGACUAGUCUUGCAUCUAACUCAGUGCGCUGUCUUAAUUCUUCAUUUUAAUGAUUUCUGUUACCAGAGGAAUAUUCCUUAUCCUACACCCUGCCAGAGAACAAAGGAUAGGUAGAGAAUGGUUCUAAGAUCUAAACAUGAAGAAUUGUCACAGCUAAAGUAAUUUAUAACUCCUUUACAGGCAGUCUGCUUUUCUGAAUCUUGCAAGAUGCAAUUGAAUUCUUAGUCUUGUCUUUCUUUAUGAUUUAUUUUGAGUAAACAUUAGAUACCUGUGUCACUUUGCAGUGACACUUCUGGGGCAUAGCUGCUGAGCGUGUGUGUGGUCCAAAGGUCCCUCAGCAUGGGCAGGGUAGUUAACUUAGUCCUGUAAUCUUGAGGGAGAAACUACUUUGUUGCAAGUCAGGCGACUGAAUAAAAGCCCACUGACUUUUGUUAACCUCUUUCAUGUUUUGCUGUUUACUUAUUUGACUAAUGAUUACAGCCAUUAGGAAGGUGUGCUAGGAAAUGUAAAUAUAUUGAUUGUGUUUCCAACAUUGUAGGCAUUGAUUUUUCUAAAGGAUCAUGGGAGGGUGGUUGUUUUCUUUUAAACCACUUCAUUCAAAAAGAAGAAAUAGAGUUUUCUGAAGUAAAAUAGAAAUGUCGCAUUUACUAUAUGGAUGUAGACAAAGAUCAAGUAUUAGUUGUAUAAUUAUUUUCAAACUAGUUUGUAACAUUCUAGCAAUAUAC
This 5349-nucleotide long non-coding RNA is filed under the name Marmota monax (woodchuck). The record is from RNAcentral. Lineage: Eukaryota; Metazoa; Chordata; Mammalia; Rodentia; Sciuridae.